CCACUCCUCCAGCCCACACUAUAAAUAAGUAUGAGUGUGUGACUGCCUGAAACUGUGUGUGUGUGUAACUGUCUGCCUGAAACAGUGUGUGUGUGUAGCUUAAAAUAUACAGAAAAAACAACAAUAUAUGUGAACACAACCCCAGUGCAAAUGAUGUAAUAUAGGAGCAAACCAAGACUUCCCUUAUCUUAAGGUGAAGUAUCCAGAUGAAUCCCCGAAGACUUCCUC
Non-coding RNA from Pelobates cultripes (western spadefoot toad), 228 nucleotides. NCBI's taxonomy places the organism in Eukaryota, Metazoa, Chordata, Amphibia, Anura, Pelobatidae. The record is from the annotation of a GenBank genome assembly.